Molecule: ribosomal RNA, 497 nt
Filed under: uncultured bacterium
Lineage: Bacteria
Description: partial 16S ribosomal RNA
Rfam family: Bacterial small subunit ribosomal RNA
Source: RNAcentral
GAUGAACGCUGGCGGCGUGCCUAAUACAUGCAAGUCGAGCGAAAAGACGAGGAGCUCGCUCCUCUGAGGUUAGCGGCGGACGGGUGAGUAAGACGUGGAUAACCUACCUCUAAGUCUUGGAGAACUUCGGGAAACCGGAUAUAAUACUGGUUAAUAUAAUGAACCGGAUGGUUCAAUAGUGCAUGACGGCUUUGGUGUCACUUAUAGGUGCAUCCGCGUCCCUUUGGCUAGGUGGCGAGGUAACGGCUAACCAAGGCUACGUUGCGUAGCCGACCUGAGAGGAUGAACAGCCACACUGGAACUAGGACACGGUCCAGACUCCUACGGGAGGCAGCAGUAGGGAAUCUUCCGCAAUGGGCGGAAGCUUGACGGAGCAACGCCGCGUGAGUGAUGAAGGUCUUCGGAUUGUAAAACUCUGUUAUUAGGGAAGAAAAACUGUGUGAUUAACUACGCGCGUCUUGACGGUACCUAAUGAAGAAGCACCGGCUAACUACGUG